UUAUUUUUUUAUAUUUUAGUAAACAAAAUAUUUUUUUUAAAUUUUAAUUUGUAGAAGCUUCUCGUAUUUUUUUUAGUAAAAAAUUACUUUUUUUAAAUUUUAAUUUGUAGAUUAUCCGGACGAAGAAUGGGUGUGGGAAAAUAUUUAUAUUUUUCAGUAUGUUCCAUCGAUCUUAUUAAAACCUCAAAGAAUUAAUAAAAUUGAAAAAAUAUAUAUAUAUAUUUUAAAUACAACUUAUACUUUAAUAGAUAAAGAUAUCAUGAAAAAAAUUAAAACUUCUGAAUAUUACGGAAUUUUAUAUAGUGUUUCUAGGGAUUGGGUGGUAGUAAGAGUAAAUGACAAAGUGAUUAUUUUAUUUGAAGUUGGUAAGGAUUUUUUUAUUUCUAGUAUCAUUGGAUACAGUUGAUUAAAAAAAAUGAUUCAAUAAAAACACUUUUUUUAGUUUUUAAAAGAAUAGACUUUUUAUUUGAGUGAACUAUUGCUACAUUGAUUGCAUUUAAUUUUUAUAUUGGAUGGGAAUUCACCCAAAUGGAAAUAAUUUGAGUCAGUUUUUGAGAAUGGAAAAAAUUGAAGAUGAAAGAUUUUAUCUUGUAUUUGGAUACUUCAACACCAUUUGGGAUUAAGUUGAUUGUACUUUCCAGACUUAUGCAAUUGUAUUGAUUGAUGUAUGUAAAUAGUCACAUGUAUUACCUAUGUGACCUUUAUUACCAUGAAUACCUGUCAUAUUUUUUUUUGUUAAUAGAAAAAAAUAUAUUUGGUAAAAUAUAUGUAAUAAUAAGUAAAUAAAUUCAAUUUAUGAUUAAAUCCAUGAAUUUAAUAUAAUCAAAAUAAUUUUUAUCUGCAUUUGUGAUAAAUGACACUCAGAUGCUUACAGUUAAGAAACAUUUCAUAUUUUUUGUUCUUACAAUUAAUAAUUUACAUAUUUUCCUGUAGAUUACAAUGUAGAACAAGCAUUACGGGCUGCACUUUAAAAUACUGUGUACUUUUGAAAAGCUAGUAAUCAUAGCAAGACGACAGAUUAAGUAGCCUAUACUGUCCAUCAAAACAGUGGUGAGCAGUAACAUCUUUAAAUGACAAGUUGCAUAGAUGGUUAACUCUCAUUGGAUAAUGGGAUGUCCUGAGCCAUUUUAGUCAACAUGCCACAGACUUGUUUUCAGAUUGUUUCUCUUGUCAUACUUGAAUGAUGAUAAACCUGAAUUUUAGAAAUCUACCCCCUUGUGUCUUUUUUAAAAACAUUGCAGAAGUGACAUGAUGCGCCUGUAUUUUAAAUUUACUGGAACAAAUUUAGAAAUAAAUUUAAAAAAUAGCUGCAUUGUGUUGCUUCAACAGAUUCUUUUACACAAGGUACAUAACGAACAAGGUAAGGACACCAAUGUUUCCUAUGGAGCUGCUAUUUUGGAUUCACAAUUCCAAGGUCAUGGUAUAUAUUUCAUGCUUAAUGCUAUGUAUGUAUGUGCAGUAAAUUACACAUUCUUUUGAGUUUGAGCCAGGGGAUUCCUUUUAUAAUUUCAAAGAGUCUUCAUUUAGAGGUUACU
This is a long non-coding RNA of Centruroides sculpturatus (bark scorpion), 1535 nucleotides long. RefSeq lists it as uncharacterized. The record is from RefSeq and is a predicted model, not a curated record. The transcript is spliced from 3 exons. NCBI's taxonomy places the organism in Eukaryota, Metazoa, Arthropoda, Arachnida, Scorpiones, Buthidae.